This 406-nucleotide ribosomal RNA is filed under the name uncultured Methanomicrobiales archaeon. Its description in RNAcentral is "bacterial SSU rRNA". It matches the Rfam family "Archaeal small subunit ribosomal RNA", at positions 933 to 1338 of the family's 1478-position model. Lineage: Archaea; Methanobacteriati; Methanobacteriota; Methanomicrobia; Methanomicrobiales. The record is from RNAcentral.
GAUAAGACAGCUGAAUGAUAGUCGGGCUGAAGACUCUACUUGACUAGCUGAGAGGAGGUGCAUGGCCGUCGUCAGUUCGUACUGUGAAGCAUCCUGUUAAGUCAGGCAACGAGCGAGACCCACGCCAACAGUUGCCGGCUCGUCCUCCGGGAUGGUGGGGACACUGUUGGGACCGCCUCUGCUAAAGAGGAGGAAGGAAUGGGCAACGGUAGGUCAGCAUGCCCCGAAUUAUCUGGGCUACACGCGGGCUACAAUGGGUGGGACAAUGGGUAUCGACACCGAAAGGUGAAGGCAAUCUCCUAAACCCAUCCGUAGUUCGGAUUGUGGGCUGCAACUCGCCCACAUGAAGCUGGAAUCUGUAGUAAUCGUGUCUCAAAAUGGCACGGUGAAUAUGUCCCUGCUCCUU